RNAcentral lists this ribosomal RNA (404 nucleotides) under uncultured bacterium. RNAcentral's name for it is "bacterial SSU rRNA". It matches the Rfam family "Bacterial small subunit ribosomal RNA", at positions 356 to 774 of the family's 1533-position model. The record is from RNAcentral.
GGGGAAUUUUACGCAAUGGGGGAAACCCUGACGUAGCGACACCGCGUGAGCGAAGAAGCCUUUUGGGGUGUAAAGCUCUGUCAGCUGGAACGAACACAAUGACGGUACCAGCAGAGGAAGCAUCGGCUAACUACGUGCCAGCAGCCGCGGUAAGACGUAGGAUGCAAGCGUUGUCCGGAUUCAUUGGGCGUAAAGAGUUCGUAGGUGGUCUGUUAAGUUUGGUGUUAAAGAGCGGGGCCCAACCCCGAUAGUGCACUGAAUACUGGCAGACUUGAGUGCGGUAGAGGUAAGUGGAAUUCCAAGUGUAGCGGUGAAAUGCAUAUAUAUUUGGAAGAACACCGGUGGCGUAAGCGACUUACUGGGCCGUAACUGACACUGAGGAACGAAAGCCGGGGUAGCGAAUG